GCUGAACUGGCCGGGCGUUGUUCUUGUAGACCGGAGCCAAUGGCAACUUUAGUGCUUUUAUCUGUUCCUUCGAAAUCGUCUUCGCCUGCGAGGUCUCCGAGUGCAACGUAAACCUCUUUGUUGGUGCCGGUUCCAUUCGCUAACGCCGCCAAUUUGUCUUGUACCUGCAAUUUCGCCGGGCGAUUUUACGGGGAUCGGGAUCGCCGUAUUGGAGGAGGAUUCCUAUGACUGAGAGGCUGAAAUCGUCUGCUUGAUGGACUAGAUGAAGUUCGGCUGCAAAUCUGUUCGAAUCGGAAAGUUCGCGGAGGUCAGUUGAAAUCCAAAACUACAAAAAAAUUAUCUAACAGAUGAAUUUGUCCUGAUUUAGCCUAUAUUCAUGCGGUGAUUCAACUCUGCUCACUCACAAUUAGUUAAGUAGAAAAAAAAAAUCUAGGUUGGGCAGUCUGAUAACUUGGUGGGCUUGGGCCUAUAAUGGGCCAGCCCAAAGAGAGAAAAGACGAGAGAGAGAGAAAGAGAAAGAUGGGUAAACU
Cucurbita moschata (crookneck pumpkin) is the source of this 530-nucleotide long non-coding RNA. RefSeq lists it as uncharacterized. The transcript is spliced from 3 exons. The record is from RefSeq and is a predicted model, not a curated record. Lineage: Eukaryota; Viridiplantae; Streptophyta; Magnoliopsida; Cucurbitales; Cucurbitaceae.